CUUGGGACCUUGUAUGUAAGAAAACAUUGAGUCAGAAGAGAGCGUUAGUCAUAGGGCUACUGAAACACAAGCUGUCUGCCUACGGAAGGCUCCAGAGUCCCUGACGCAUAUUUAUAUCUCCACUUCACUGAAGUCACAAGGAACAAACACACACCUGCCAUUUCCCAAAUCUCAUAAAACAUAUAAAUGGAUGAGACCAAAGAGAGGCAUGAGAUUCCAUUCUUAUGGUUCACAGGAAGCACCUGGCACACAGUAACUAUUAUUAAUUUCUGCACUGGAGGCAUCAGGAAAGCCUUCACGCUAUAGGGGGCCCUUUUAAGUUAAGAAGUUGGAGAGCAAGCCUCGGGGAAAGCAAAGAGAUAACUUAGUAGAAUGGAGCAACCAUACGGGAACAGUGAGAGUCCAUGGAUCUCCCUGGGCUAAGAUCAUGUAUGGAUUUGGCAAUCUGGG
Molecule: long non-coding RNA, 450 nt
Organism: Homo sapiens (human)
Lineage: Eukaryota; Metazoa; Chordata; Mammalia; Primates; Hominidae
Gene: ALKBH3-AS1
Product: ALKBH3 antisense RNA 1
Source: Ensembl